UUGAGUGGGAGUUUAUUAGUAAUAUGAUUAGCUAAACUCAGUUGUCUUGAACAUAGUCUAAGUAAUCUUUGCAAAGUUUUAUGUUGUAGAUUAAUGGCUCACGCAAUAGCAACCCUGAAUUUUAAUACGUUCCUAGAGAAAGCCAAGCUGAAAGAUGAUGGAAGCAACUUCGUUGACUAGGCUCCUAAUCUGAGGCUUAUCCUCACGGCUGGCCAAAAGCAAUAUGUGCUUGAUGCUGCGCUAGCUGAUGCACCACCCGCUAUAGCGACCCAAGAUGUUUCGAACGCUUGGCAAGAGAGGAAGGAUGACUACUCACUAGUUCAAUGUGCAAUUUUGUAUGGCUUAGAACCAGGACUUCAAAGAUGUUUUGAACGUCAUGGAGAAUAUGAGAUGUUGCAGGAGUUGAAGUUUAUAUUUGAGAAGAAUGCCCGGAUCGAGAGGUAUGAGACCUCUGAUAAGUUCUAUGCUAGCAAAAUGGAGGAGAAUUCGUCUAUCAGUGAACACGUGCUCAGAAUGUCUGGAUACUCUAACCGUCUAGCUGAGCUGGGGACUGAACUCCCGCAAGAAGCUAUCACUGAUAGAAUUCCUCAGUCACUACCACCUAGCUAUAAGAGCUUCACGUUGAACUAUAACAUGCAAGGGAUGAAUAAGUCACCCAAUGAGUUUUUUGCGAUGCUGAAAAUCGCUGAGUCAGAAAUCUAGAAAGAACGUUACGUGUUGAUGGUCAAUAAGACCACUAGUUUCAAGAAAAACGGCAAAGGCCAGAAGGGUAACUCCAAGAAGAGUGGCAAAGUGUUUCCCCUCCGACAAAGAAACCCAAGGAUGGACCUAACCGGGAACUGAGUGCUAUUAUUGCAAGGGGACUGGUCACUGGAAGCGCAACUGCCCCAAGUAUCUGGCUGAUAAGAAGACAACCAAUGCCAAACAAGGUAUAUUUGAUAUACAUGUUAUUGAUGUGUACCUCACCAACUCUCAUAGUAGUGGCUGUGUAUUUGAUACCAGUCUUAUUGCUCACAUUUGCAACUCGAAACAGGAACUGCAGAAUAAACAAAGGCUGGCAAAGGAUGAAGUGACGAUGCGCGUGGGAAAUGGUUCCAAGGUUGAUGCGAUCGACGUCGGCACGCUCUCACUUCAGUUACCAUCGGGAUUAGUGAUGAACUUAAAUAAUUGUUAUUUAGUGCCUGCGUUGGGCAUAAAUAUUAUAUCUGGAUCUUGUUUAUUGCGAGACGGUUACUCAUUCAAGUCACAAAAUAAUGGUUGUUCUAUUUAUAUGAGUAAUAUAUUUUAUGGUCAUGCACCCAAUGUGAGGGGUUUGUUCAUAUUGAAUCUCGAUUGUGAUGAUACUCAUGUCCAUAACAUUGAGACCAAAAGAUAUAGAGUUAACAAUGAUAGCGCCACUUUAUUGUGGCACUGCCGCUUAGGUCAUAUUGGUGUAAAACGAAUGAAGAAACUCCAUGUUGAUGGACUUUUGGAGUCACUUGAUUUUGAAUCAGUUGACAUAUACGAACCAUGUCUCAUGGCCAAGAUGACUAAGACCCCGUUCUCCGGAACAAUGGAGCAUGCAAAUGACUUGUUGGAGAUCAUAAAUACUGUGUGCGGACCAAUAAGCAUAGAGGCGCGUGGCGGAUAUCAUUAUUUUCUCACCUUCACUGACGAUUUGAGUAGGUAUGGUUAUAUCAACUUGAUGAAGGAAAAGUCUGAGACGUUUGAAAAGUUCAAACAAUUUCAGAGUGAAGUUGAAAAUCAUCGUAGCAAGAAGAUCAAGUUCCUACAAUCUGAUCGAGGAGGUGAAUAUCUGAGUUUCGAGUUUGAUGCUCACUAAGACAAUGUGGAAUUGUUUGACAGUUGACACCGCGUGGAACACCACAACGCAAUGGUGUGUCUGAACAUCGUAAUCGUACUUUAUUAGAUACGGUGCGUUCUAUGAUUUCUCUUACUGAUUUGCCAUUAUCAUUUUGGCACUAUGCAUUGGAGACAUCUGCAUUCACUUUAAAUAGGGCAUCAUCAAAAUCCGUUGAGACGACACCAUAUGAGUCGUGGUACGUCAAGAAGCCAAAGUUGUCAUUUUUUAAAGUUUGGGGAUGUGAUGCUUAUGUCAAAAAGCUUCAGCCUAAAAAGCUAGAACCCGAAGCGGAAAAGUGUGUCUUCAUAUGUUAUCGAAAAGAGGUAGUUGGGUAUACCUUCUAUCUCAGAUUCGAGGGCAAAGUGUUUGUCACUAAGAACAGAGCUUUUCUUCAGAAAGAAUUUCUCUCGAAACAGUUGAGUGGGAGGAAGAUAGAACUUGAUGAGGUUGCAGAACCUCUACUUCAACAAGAUGGUGGCGCAGGGCAGAAAGAAAUUUCUGUCGAGGCAACCCAGUUGAAGAGGAAGCUAAUGAUGGUGAUCAUGAAUCUUCAGAUCAAGUUACUGUCUGACCUCGCAGGUUGACAAGAGCACAUACUCCUCCUAAGUGGUACGGGAAUCCUAUCUUGUCAAUCAUGUUGUUGGACAACAAGUGAUCCUGCGAAUUAUGGAGAAGCAAUGGUGCGCUCAGAUUCCAACAGAUGGUUAGAAGCCAUGAAAUCUGAGAUAGGAUCUAUGUAUGAAAACAAAGUAUGGACUUUGGAAGUAUUACCUGAAGGUCGAAAGGCUAUUCAGAACAAAUGGAUCUUUAAGAAGAAGACGGACGCACACAGUAAUAUGACCGUUUAUAAAGCUCGACUUGGGGCAAAGGGUUUUUCAAAGGUUCAAGGAGUUUACUAUGAUGAGACAUUCUCAACCGUAGCAAUGCUUAAGUCUGUCCAAAUCAUGUUAGCAAUAGCUGCAUUUUUCGAUUAUGAAAUAUGGCAGAUGGAUGUCAAAAUGGUGUUCCUUAACAGGUUUCUUAAGGAACGGUUGUAUAUGAUGCAACCCGAAGGUUUUGUCGAUCAUAGAAUGCUAACAAAGUAUGUAAGCUCUAGCAAUCCAUUUAUGGACUGGUGCAGGCAUCUCGGAGUUGGAAUCAGCGCUUUGAUGAGGUGAUCAAGGAGUUCAGGUUUAUACAAGUUUCUGGAGAAGCUUGUAUUUACAAGAAAGUGAGUGGGACUCUAUAGUGUUUCUAAUAUUAUAUAUGGAUGACAUAUUGCUGAUUGGAAACAAUGUAGAGUUUUUUGGAAAGCUUAAAGGAUUACUUGAAUAAAAGUUUUUCAAUCAAGGACCUAGGAGAAGCUACUUACAUAUUGGGCAUAAAGAUCUAUAGAGAUAGGUCAAGGCGCCUAAUAUAUCUUUCACAAGGCACAUACCUUGAUAAAGUUUUGAAUACGUUCAAUAUGGAACAAUCCAAGAAGGGGUUCUUACCUGUGUUACAAGGUAUAAAGUUCAGUAAGACUCAAUGUCCAGUAACUGCAGAACACGGAGAAAAGAUGAGUGUUGUCCCCUAUGCUUCAGCCACAGGGUCUAUCAUGUAUGCAAUGUUGUGCACAAGACCGGAUGUCAGCCUGGCCAUAAGUAUGGCAGGCAGGUUUCAGAGUGAUCCAGGAGUGGAACACUGGGCGGUGGUCAAGAAUAUUCUAAAGUACCUGAAAAGGAUUAAGGAAAUGUUUCUCGUUUAUGGAGGUGAUGAAGAGCUCAUCGUAAAGGGUUACGUUGAUGCAAGCUUUGACACUGAUCCUGAUGACUCUAAGUCUCAAACCGGAUACGUAUUUAUUAUUAAUGGGGGUGCGGUAAGCUGGUGCAGUUCCAAGCAAAGCGUCGUAGCUGAUUCUACAUGUGAAUCGGAGUACAUAGCUGCCUCAGAGGAGGCUAAGGAGGGUGUGUGGAUGAAGCACUUCAUGUUAGAUCUGGGAGUAGUGCCAAGUGCACUGGACCCAAUCAAUUUGUUCUGUGACAGCACUCGUGCCAUUGCUCUAGCCAAGGAACCAAGGUUUCACAAGAGAAUCAGACACAUAAAGCGACGCUUCAAUGCCAUCCGCGAUUACAUCAAGGAGGAGGAUAUAAAUAUUUGCAAAGUGCACACGGAUCUGAAUAUUGCAGAUCCGCUCACCAAACCUCUUCCAAUAGCAAAGUGUGAUCAACACCAGAACUGUAUGGGUGUUAGAUUCAUUACACUGCAAAUCACAUAGAGAUGUGAAGCUAGAUUAUUGAAUCUAGUGCAAGUGGGAGAGUCUUAGAAAUAUGCCCUAGAGGAAAUUAUAAAAUAGUUAUUAUUAUAUUUCCUGUUUCAAGAUAAUCGUUUAUUAUCCAUGCUAUAAUUGUAUUGAAUGGAAUCAUAAAUGCAUGUGUUGAUAUAUAGACAAAACAAUAUCCCUAGUGAGCCUCUAGUUGACUAGCUCGUUGAUCAAGGAUGGUUAAGGUUUCCUAGACAUAGACAAGCGUUGUCACUUGAUGACAGGAUCACAUCAUUGGGAGAAUGAUGUGAUGGACAAGACCCAAACUAUAAACGUAGCAUAUGAUCUGUCAGUUUGUUGCUACCGUUUUAUGCAUGUAAAUGUAUCUGUUCCUAUAACCAUGAGAUCAUGCAACUCCCGGACACCGGAGGAAUACCUUGUGUGUAUCAAAUGUCGCAACAUUACUGGGUGAGUAUAAAGGUGCUCUACAGGUAUCUCUAAAGGUGUGUGUUGGUUGGCAUGGAUCAAGAUUGGGAUUUGUCACUCUGUUUGACAGCGAGGUAUCUCGAGGGCCACUCGGUAAUAUAACAUCACAAUAAGUGUUGCAAGCAAUGUGACUAAGGAGUUAGUCAAGGGAUCUUGUAUUACGGAACGAGUAAAGAGACUUGCCGGUAACGAGAUUGAACUAGGUAUAGAGAUACCGACUUUCGGAUCUCGGGCAAGUAACAUACCGAAGGACAAAGGAACUGCAUACGAGAUUAACUGAAUCCUUGACAUAGAGAUUCAAUCGAUAAAGAUCUUCAUAGAAUAUGGAGGAUCCAAUAUAAACAUCUAGGUCCCACUAUUGGAUAUUGACCGGAGAGUGUCUCGGUCAUGUCCGCAUAGUUCUCGAACCCGCAGGGUCUGCACACUUAAGGUUCGAUGAUGUUUCGGUAUAGUUGAGUUAUAGGUGUUGGUGACUGAAGGUUGUUCGGAGUCCCGGAUGAGAUCCUUGACGUCACGUGGAUCUCCUGAAUGGGUUUGUAGGUAAAGAUUGAUAUAUAGGAAGUCCUGUUUUGUCACCAAAAAAGUUUCGGGCUCAUCGGUAGUGUACCGGGAGUGCCGGAAGGGUGUCGUGGGACCACCGGGAGUGGUGCGGUGACCCUAGGGCUUCAUGGGACAAGAGAGGAGGCAAACCAACCCCUGAUGGGCUGGCCGACGCCAAUUCUAAGGGCCCAUGAGGCUAGAGUAGGAAAUAAAGGAAAAAUACAAAAUGUGGAAAAGGUUUCCAAGUGGAAGGGGAAUCCUACUAGGAGUAGGAUUGGAGGAGGACUCCUCCUCUCCUCCCACGUCAGCCGAGCCAAAGGGCAGCCCUAGGGCCGGCGUCCUCCCUCCUCUCCUCCUAUAUAUACUAGAGCUUUUGAGGGUUUUGAGACACAACAAUUAGCCACGUGCUACCCUCUCUCUACAUCUGUUUCUCCUCUAAUCUAGUUUUCAGUGGUGCUUAAGUGAAGCCCUGCUGGACUAGAUCCACCAUCACCGUCGUCACACUGUCGCGCUGCCGGAGAAAUCAUCUACCUCUCCUCCCCACUUGCUGGAUCAAGAAGGUGGAGAUCAUCGUCGAGUAGUGGGUGUGCUGAACGCGGAGGUGCUGUACGUUCGGCGCUAGAUCAGGACUGAUCGUGGCCCGACAGUGAUUUGGAUCGUGAAGACGUUCCACUAAAUCAACCGCAUUUCUUAACGCUUCCCGCUUAGCGAGCUACAAGGGUAUGUGGAUCCGAUCUCCCCUCAUAGAUGAUCAUCACCAUCAUAGGUCUUCGUGUGCGUAGGAAUUUUUUUGUUUCCCAUGCGACAUUCCCCAACAGUAUUAGAUCAGGAUAUAAUUCCAAGUCGUCCUGGAAUCAUGGACACGGCUAUUCGAAUAGUUAAUUUUCAUCCUUCCCGGGGUGUACCAAAUUACCAAACAUGCUUGACAAGCUCUGGCCAAACACACUUUCGUGUGUCAUGCCCGGCCUCGGAAGAUAAACACAUCGCAACCCCACCUAGGCUCGACAGGGUGGCCAACCCGCCGGUCUAAAUCCUAAGUGCAUGGGUCGUGGGCCCAUCACCAUUUGCACUCUGGCAUGAUGCAUGGGCGGCCGAGGUUAGUCCUGGUACCUCUUAUACAAGAACAAUGCUUACACGGACCACUCGGGCGUGCGCUGCUCCAUUGCUAGUGUCUGAAGAACUUCGGUUGAUACUACAACGCCGAGUACCCAUAACUUUUCCCACGUGAAGGUCAGUGCGAAAAGGUCUACGACCAACUCAUAUCAAACACACAAAUCCCAUUAUCAUUUUAAUUAAUACCGUAGCGACGAUCAGCAAUCCACGAUAUGUGGUCCCGUCGCCCCGUCUAGACGAUGUGUGGCAAGGGCCAAGAAUACUCGGCCACGUCUCAUCAGGUCAAGUAACUAUGUUGCUGUAACAUCAGAGUGAUCCGAGGAAUCUCCCUCGAUGGAUUCUCAGCGAUGUAGCCGUCAAGGCGACCAGGGAGGAAUCACCCUCGAUGGUCCAUGCUUGAGGGUUUGUACGAUAGAGUCGUUAUCGAAAGUGGUGAAGGAGGAAUCACCCUUCAUGGACCACCACUUGUUAACUGCACUACAGAGCUAACAUCAGGAGUACGUAAUGAGGUGUCACCCUUGGUACUCGACAGUAGCUCUGCAACAUUGUACGACAAGGGGGGUGUGAGUGAUGUGAUGGGUCUUGGCUCAUCGAUUAGUUGAUCGAGUCUUCGAUGAUAAAGCAAGGGCAAAUGGGACUAAGGGGUCAAAUGGGGAUCACUGAGUCACCCCUACUAAGCAUUUAAUGUAUAGAUUAUGCAUCCUAAUAGGAGCUAUCUAAAAUAGUAGAAAAAAUCUAACGCAAGCAUGAGGGAUAAAGAAUGAGCGAUAUAGGAAUGAUCAAGGGGGUUGCUUGCCUGGUUGCUCUGCACACAUAUACGGAUCCUCGAUAGUCGAUCACUGGAUCAACAUCGGUCUCGGGGUCUGCUACUGCGACAACAAACCUUCCCUGGUACGGUGACAGGAAUCCCCCUGCUACGGCUACGCCUUAGGGACUUCUUCGGCAAAUAUGCAAAGGAUUUCCCCGCGGCCUUGGAGCCUUGCGUUGGUGUUCCCUUGAAGAGGAAAGGGUGAUGUAGCACAUCGGUGGUAAGUAUUUCCCUCAGUUUUGAGAACCAUGGUAUCGAACCAGCGGAAGAUCUCGUCAAGUCACAAGUACCUGCACAAACACAAAGAGCUUGCACCCAACCCUAUGAAGGGGUUGUCAAUCCCUUAUAGAUUGUUUGCAAAGUGAGAACUAAAAGCAACAAAGUAAACAAGCAUAGUAAAAGUGAAAGUGCAAACGAUAGGUGUGAAUAGACCUGGGGAAGUAGUGUUCACUAGUGGCUUUUCUCAUGAAAGCAAGUAGACGGUGGGUGAGCGAAUUACUGUCGAGCAAUUGAUAGAACCGCCCAAAGUCGUGACGUUAUCUAAGGCAAUGAUUAUAUCUAUAGGCAUCAUGUCCAAAGCAAGUAGAUCGAUACUUUCUGCAUCUACUACUAUUACUCCACAUGUCGACCGCUAUCCAGCAUGCAUCUAGUGUAUUAAGUCCAAAAGAACAGAGUAACGCCUUAAGCAAGAUGACAUGAUGUAGAUGGACAAUCUCAUAUCUACGAUAAAAGCCCAUCUUAUUACCCUUGAUGGCAACAACAGGAUGCGUGCGUUGCUGCCCCUUCUGUCACUGGGAAAGGUCACCACACGGUAUGAACCCAAAACCAAGCACUUCUCCCAUUGCAAGAAUCAUAGAUCUAGUUGGCCAAACAAAACCCAAGACUCGGAGAGACUUACAAGGAUAUCAAAUCAUGCAUAUAAGAAAUCAGCAAAGACUCAAAUAUAAUUCAAAGAUAAUCUGAUCACAAAUGCACAAUUCAUCGGAUCUCGACAAACACACCGCCAAAGAGGAUUACAUCGGAUAGAUAUCCAUGAAGAUCAUAGAGAACUUUGUAUUGAAGAUCCAAGAGAGAGAAGAAGCCAUCUAGCUACUAACUACGGACCUGUAGGUCACGAGUCAUUGGAGAGGCGAUGAUGUUGAUGUAGAAGCCCUAGAACUCCAAGGUCCCCUCCGGCAGGGCACCGGGAAGGGUCUCCAGAUGAGAUCUCACGGAAACGGAAGCUUGCGGCGGCAGAAAAGUGUUUUAGUGGAUGCCCUGAUUUUUUCUGGAUUUUUAGGGAAUUUAUAGGCCAAAGACCUAGGGCAGGGGAGCUCCAGGGGGGGCACAAGCUUGGUUGCCAUGGCCUCCCCCUGGCCGCGGCAACAGGGCUUGUGGGCCCCCUGUGGGCCCACUACCUUGGCCCUCAAGCCUCCCGAUCUUCUUCCGUUUUGGAAAAAAAUAUUUCGGAGAUUUUAUUCCGUUUGGACUCCGUUCCAAAAUCAGAUCUGAAAAUAGUCAAAAACAGAAAAAAAAAAAAACAGUAACUGGCACUUGGCACUGAAUUAAUAAGUUAGUCCCAAAAAAGAUAAAAAAAGGUAAACAAAACAUCCAAAGUUGACAAGAUAAUAGCGUGAAACCAUCAAAAAUUAUAGAUACGUUUGAGACGUAUCAAGCAUCCCCAAGCUUAAAUUCUGCUCUUCCUCGAGUAGGGAAGGGAUAAAGAAUGAAUUUUUGAUGCUUUGAUGCUGCCUAACAUAAAUGUCCUUUGUAACUCCUCUUAUGUGACGUGAAUAUUCAGAUCCAUUAGAUUCAAAACAAUAGUUUGCUAUUGACGUGGAGACAAUAAUAAUUAAAGCAAACUAGUAAGGUAAUCAUGAACUUUCAAAAUAACAAGGCCAAAAGAAAGUUAUCCCUACAAAAUCAUAUAGUAUGGCUAUGCUCUAUCAUCCUUGCACAACGAAUUUAAAUCAUGCACAACCCCGGUAUUGGCCAAGUAAUUGUUUUCACACCUUUUCUUUCUCAAACUUUUUCAAUUCUCACGCAAUGCAUGAGCGUGAGCCAUGGUUUUAGCACUAUAAGUGGUGUGGAGUGUGGUGGAGGUUUUAAGACAAACCAGGAGAAGAUAGUCACAUUGACUAGGCAUAUUAGUGAGCUAUGGAGAUGCUCAUCAAUAGAUAUGAACGUGAAUGAGUAGGGAUUGCCAUACAAAUGAUGCACUAGAGCUAAGAGUAUGUGAAAGCUCUUAAAGAAAACUAGUGGGUGUGCAUCCAACUUGCUUGCUCACGAAGACCUAAGGCAAUUUUGAGGAAGCCUAUCAUUGGAAUAUACAAGCCAAGUUAUAUAAUGAAAAUUUCCCACUAGCUAUAUGGUGGUGAAAAAACGAGAGACUCUCAAUCAUGAAGAUCAUGGUGCUUAAUAAGCACAAGUGUGGAAAGAUAGUAGCAUUGUCCCUUCUCUCUUUUUCUCUCAUUAUAUUUUUUUGGUGGGCUCUUUGGCCUCUUUUUUUAUUUUUUUUAUUUUGGUGGGCAUCUUUGGCCUAUUUUUGUAAAUGGGCUUCGCUGGCCUCUUUUAUUUUCUCACAUGGGACAAUGCUUCAUCAAUGAUGAUCAUCACACUUACAACUCAAAACUUAGAGCAAUGAUGACUCUAUAUGAAAUGCCUUCGGUAGUGUACCGUGACAAUGAUCUAGCAUGGCAUAGACAUCAAUGGGAACAUCAUGCUAGCUAUCUUAUGAUCAUGCAAUGUCAAUGUAGAAGUAGUGGCACACGUCAUGGUGGUAGUUGCAUGGCAAUAUAUCUCGGAAUAGCUUUGAAAAAGCCAUAGUAGGUAGGUUUGGUGGCUGUUUUGAAGGAGGCUAUUGGUGGGUUUUGUGCACCGGGGAAAAUUGCACGACACUAAAGAAGAUAGUGAUGGUGGAAGGUGAAAGUGCAUCUAAACCAUGGACUCAACAUUAGUCAUGAAGAACUCAUAUACUUGUUGCAAAAGUUUUUGUAGUAAUCGAAACAAAGCAUUCAACGCAUACUCCUAGGGGAAGGGUUGGUAGGUAUAAACCAUCGCGCGGUCCAGACCGCCACACAAAGGAUGACAAUCAAUAGACUAAUCAUGCUCAGACUUCAUCACAUAGCGGUUCACCAUACAUGCAUGCUAUGGGAAUUACUAACUUCAACACAAGUAUUUCCAGAUCCACAACACCUUACUAAUAUAACUUCUAUAUUACCAUAACCACAACUCAAAACUAGUUGAGAUGAAUCAAACUUCUCUAACUAUUCAAUGCACCUGAAGGUGGAAGUUUUCAUAUCCCUUUGGAUAACUACCUCUUUUGAGACUACUUUCAUAGCAUAUCAACUACCAAGCCAUGCACCGCCGUGCUCUAAAAGAUAUAAGUGAAGCACAUAGAGCAAAAUCAACUAGCUCAAAAGAUAUAAGUGAAGCACAUGUGAGCUGAAUUGUCUAACCAAAAGAUAUAAGUGAAGCUUGACAAAAUCACGGUGAGUGCAUGUCUCUCUCUCUCUAGGUGUGAAGCAAGGAUGAUUGUGACACCACAAAAAUAAAAGACUCCUACGAUACAAGAUGCUCCAAGCAAAACACAUAACAUGUGGUGAAUAAAAAUAUAGCCCCAAGUAACGUUACCGAUGGAUUGAAGACGAAAGAGGGGAUACUUUCCCGGGGCAUCCGCAAGCUUAGGCUUUUACGGCAUCCUUGAAUCAACUUGGGGUGUCUUGGGCAUACCCAAUCUUGAGCUCUUGCCACUCUUUAUCUUUUUGUCCAUAAGAACUUCACCCAAAACUUGAAAACUUCACAACACGAAACUUAAACAGAAACUCGUGAUAACAUAAGUAUAAGAAAGCAAACCACCACUUCCUUAGGUACUGUAGAAAACUUAAAUUCUACUUAUCUUGAUGUUGGGUUACUGUAUUUUCAAUAUUCCAUGGCUAAUACCCCCCGAUACUAUCCAUAGUUUCAUCAAAAUAAGCAACCAACUCAACAAAAAACAGAAUCUGUUAACAGCAGACCAGUCUGUAGAAAUCUGUAUACUCCAUAUACUUCUGUUACUUCAAAAAUUCUGACAAAUUACCACAAUCUGAAGAAGUUCCGUGGAAAUCAGCAUAAAAAAGAAUCAACUCAAAAUCUCUUACAUAAAAAAAAUGAAAAUUCUUUUCGUGAGCAGAAAGUUUCUGUCUUUUCCAGCAUGACCAAACGAUCAUCCCCAAGACUAAUCAUAACCGUUUUGCUUGGCACAAAUGCAAAAAGAAACACACAAACCACAAUCAUAACAUAAUUAUGAGAUUGUGGAAAACACAAAACAGAAAUAAAAAGGAUAGAUUCGUUGGGUUGCCUCCCAACAAGCGCUAUUGUUUAACGCCCUUAGCUAGGCAUAGAUAAAUCAAUGAUGCUCACACAAAAGACAAGAAUUGAAGCACAACGAGAGCAUCAUAAAGCAUGUGAAAAUGACAUCUAAGUCUAACAUACUUCCUAUGCAUAGGCAUUUUAUAGGAAAAUAGAUUGUCAAGACAACCAGUAGUUGCCAUAUGCAAGGAAGAAGAAAGAGACAAUAGCAAUCUCCACAUAACGAGAGGUAAUUUGGUAACAUGAAAGUUUCUACCACAAUAUUUUCCUCUCUCAUAACAAUUACAUGUGGGAUCAUAUUCGAAUUCAACCAUGUAACUAUAACAAAGGAUAUUCUUUUCAUGAUCCACAUGCAUGCAAAGUUGACACUCUUCAAAAAUAGUGGGAUUAUCAUCAACGGAAGUCAUGACUUCUCCAAACCCACUUUCAAUAUUGUUGCAAAUGUCAUACUCAUCAUGAGGCUUAAACAAAUUUUCAAGCUCAUAAGAAAAAUAAUCACCCCAAUCAAGAUCAUUGCAACAAGUAGAGGACAUAGCAAAACUAGCAUCCCCAAGCUUAGGAUUUUGCAUAUUUUUAGCAUGAUUGUCACUAAUAGAAUUUAUAGUGAAACCAUUCCAAUCAUGCUUUCAUCCAAGGAGCCCUCGUGAAUCACUUCAUAAAUUUCUUCCUCACAAUUUUCAGAUUCACGCAUCUCAAGCAAAACUCCAUAAAGAAAGUCAAGUGCACUCAACUUACUAGCAAUUGGUUCCACAUAAGUGGAUCUCUUAAAGAGAUUAGCAAGUGGGUGAGGAUCCAUAUUACUAGAUUUUUAGCAAGCGAAGAUGCAAGCAUAUUGACGGCACAUGGCACACAAGCGAACAAAAAGCAAGUGGGAAAAAGGGCGAACGAAAAGGCGAACGGGAAAGGCAAAUGAAAAAGGAAAAUUGUGAAGUGGGGGAGAGGAAAACGUGAGGCAACUGGCAAAAAAGGUAAAUGCAAGAGAUGAGUUUGUGAUACCUACUUGGAUAGAUCUCCUCCCCGGCAACGGCGCCAGAAAUCAGCAUGUUGACGAGAGACUAUUCUUGACUUGAUCCUCCCCGGCAACGGCGCCAAAAAUCCUUCUGCUACUGCGACAACAGACCUUCCUUGGUACGGCGCCAGGAAUCAUGCUACUACGGCUAUGCCUUUAGGGACUUCCUUGGAAAAUAUGCAAAGGAUUUCCCUGCGGCCUUGGAGCCUUGCGUUGGUGUUCCCUUGAAGAGGAAAGGGUGAUGUAGCACAGCGGCCGUAAGUAUUUCCCUCAGUUUUGAGAACCAAGGUAUCGAACCAGUGGAAGAUCUCAUCAAGUCACAAGUAUCUGCACAAACACAAAGAGCUUGCACCCAACGCUAUGAAGGGGUUGUCAAUCCCUUAUAGAUUGUUUGCAAAGUAAGAACUGAAAGCAACAAAGUAAACAAGCAAAGUAAAAGUGAAAGUGGAAAAGAUAGGUGUGAAUAGACCCGGGGGCCGUAGUAUUCACUAGUGGAUUCUCUCAUGAUAGCAAGUAGACGGUGGAUGAACGAAUUACUGUCGAGCAAUUGAUAGAACCGCGCAAAGUCGUGACGUUAUCUAAGGCAAUGAUUAUAUCUAUAGGCAUCACAUCCAAAACAAGUAGACCGAUACUUUCUGCAUGUACUACUAUUACUCCACAUGUCGACCGCUAUCCAGCAUGCAUCUAGUGUAUUAAUUCCAAAAGAACAGAGUAACGCCUUAAGCAAGAUGACAUGAUGUAGAUGGACAAUCUCAUAUUUACGAUAAAAGCCCAUCUUGUUACCCUUGAUGGCAACAACACGAUGCGUGCCUUGCUGCCCCUUCUGUCACUGGGAAAGGUCACCACACGGUAUGAACCCAAAACCAAGCACUUCUCCCAUUGCAAGAAUCAUAGAUCUAGUUGGCCAAACAAAACCCAAGACUCGGAGAGACUUACAAGGAUAUCAAAUCAUGCAUAUAAGAAAUCAGUAAAGACUCAAAUAUAAUUCAUAGAUAAUCUGAUCACAAAUCCAAAAUUCAUCGGAUCUCGACAAACACACCACCAAAGAGGAUUACACCGGAUAGAUCUCCAUGAAGAUCAUGGACAACUUUGUAUUGAAGAUCCAAGAGAGAGAAGAAGCUAUCUAGCUACUAACUACGGACCCGUAGGUCUGAAGUGGACUACUCACGAGUCAUUGGAGAGGCGAUGAUGUUGACGUAGAAGCCCUCCAACUCCAAAGUCCCCUCCGGCAGGGCACCGAGAAGGGUCUCCAGAUGACAUCUCGCGGAAACGGAAGCUUGCGGGGAUGGAAAAGUGUUUUCGUGGAUGCCCUGAUUUUUCCUGGAUUUUUAGGGAAUUUAUAGGCCAAAGACCUAGGGCAGGGGAGUGCCAGGGGGCACAAGCUUGGUUGUCGCGGCCUCCCCCUGGCCGCGGCAACAGGGCUUGUGGCCCCCCUGUGGGCCCACCGCCUUGGCCCUCAAGCCUUCCGAUCUUCUUCCAUUCUGGAAAAAAUUAUUUCGGGUAUUUUAUUCCGUUUGGACUCCGUUCCAAAAUCAGACCUGAAAAGGGUCAAAAACACAGAAAGAACAGGAACUGGCACUUGGCACUGAAUUAAUAAGUUAGUCCCAAAAAAGAUAAAAAAGGUAAACAAAACAUCCAAAGUUGACAAGAUAACAGCGUGAAACCAUCAAAAAUUAUAGAUACGUUUGAGACGUAUCAGGGUCUAGCAGAAAGUAAGCAACAGAGGGCAAACACUAUAAAUAACAAAGCAAUCAAACGCAUUACAAAGCUUGACAAGGUAAUACACAAUGGUAGGGGUGACCUACCGCAAUACUGAACAUUACACACGAACCGGGAAAAUAUCUGACAAUAUUUCUCGGGUUUGUGGCUACUACAAGACAUAUGAUAACGAUGGAAAAGUUCCAUGUUUGCUAUGCUAAGGGCACGUGAGAGACGAACGGAUAGCGUACCCGGAUUCGUCUCAUUUUUCUGAUCAACUUUCAUGUCCAAACUAUUUUCAUCCGAGUUACGGAUUAUUUUAUUUUAAUUUUUUAAGUUUUAUUAUUAUUCUAAAAUUAAAGAUAUUUAAUUUAAUUAAAAAAAUGUAUUUACGACGUCAGCAUGACAUCACUGUGACGUCAACAGUCAAAAGUGGGGCUGACUAGUAAACCUGGCCAGUGGGGCCCAUCUGCCAUUGACUCACGGUUAUCGAGGGUUUUAAAAUAAUUCUAAUUACUUAUUAAAUACACGAGCCCCACCUGUCAUUCAUUGUGAGGCUAACAUAGUUUAGAGUUAAACUAAAUUAACUGAUUAUCUAACAAGGGCCUAGUGGUCAUUGUAUAAUUAGGUUAAUUAAUAAAUUUUAAAUUGUUUUAUUUAAAUAAGUGGGGUGGGCCCCAUUUGUCACCGACACUGGGCACCUAGUCAGCAGCGCUGACUCGGUCAACCCGAUCAACGGACCAACUAGGCCCACUGGUUAGUGGCUGAGGGCGUGGCCCCGAGACGGCCACGUUGGCGCGCGGUCGGCUUUCAGUCGCCGGCAACCAAAACGAUGGGGAUGGGCCAUGGGAGGCCGCAGGUUUUGCCCUCCAGCAGCCAUUUGGCGCGCGAAGUGUCUCGUUCAAUCGGGGAGAGGCCUGACGUGUCGAGUGAGGGCACUGGGAGGAGCUGAGGCUGCCGGAUUCGGCGCCGGCGAUGAGCAGAGGUGGCGGCCGUGUUCGGGUCUCAUUGGGGACGACGUUUCGGGGAACGAUUCGACGUGCGGAGCGGUUCUACGGGUAGCUGGCGCUCGCGUGCGUCCAUUGCCGCAGUCAGCACCAUGCGGGAGACGAAGAGCUCGCCGAAGACGAGAUCGCGACGGUGGCUGAAGCACUGGCCCGUCUAGGACGGUGCUAGGGGGAGCAGAAGUAGUAGCGAGCGCGUGUAGGGGUGCGGGCGGCGCACGCGGGGCAGUCGUGGAUGCGGCGACAUGCGUGGCUACGUGUGGUCAGAGCGCGCGUGGGAGCUCCAGCGAGCGGGCGGCUAGCAGCGGGCGAGAUGGAGACAAAGGGAGAGCAAGGUGGUUGUGAGCCGCACUAGCGUGGUAUGGGGGCUAGGGCUGCGAGGUGUCAUGAGGCCGACGAGGAGGGGCUAGGGAAGUGUGGCGGUGACAGUUGAUGUUGGCAGGGGCGUUGGAGCAGCGGCGUGGCGGCAGGUCGAGUGGGCUGUAGAGAGGAUCCGCCGUCGGGUCAGGAUGAGCAGGAGGAGGGAUAGC
RNAcentral lists this long non-coding RNA (15581 nucleotides) under Hordeum vulgare. RNAcentral describes it as "long non-coding RNA (HVUL_LNC009207)". Lineage: Eukaryota; Viridiplantae; Streptophyta; Magnoliopsida; Poales; Poaceae. The record is from RNAcentral.